CCUGAGAAACCCAAAAGUUCGAAUGGAGAGAUUCAUCGUCAGCGACCCUGGCAAUUUUGCGGUUCGCGAUGCCUGGGACUACGGUCCCGCGGCACGUGUCCGUAUGAUUUAUAUGUGCCGGGUGUCGUCGUCGUGCACUUCUCCCCUAGUAGGACGUCGCGACCCGUUGGGUGUCGGUCUACGACCUGGGUGGGCGACUGUCAUGUGUUACGCUUCACGGCGUCAUGUGGCAGACCCCCGGUCGUCUGACCAGCUGCUCGGCGGUACUCGCACGGUAUCGAGUCGCAAUUUGAACUGCGUCCGGCCCGCCGCAAGCGAGGCCAGUGUUUCCCGGAUGUACGGACUUAGCGCCGUCACCGGGCCUGGCCAGCUGUUGGCUGGCGGUGUCCUAGGACUUGACUCUAUGUAUACCGGUCGGCGACGCUACUGCUUUGGU
Molecule: ribosomal RNA, 436 nt
Filed under: Dusona sp.
Lineage: Eukaryota; Metazoa; Arthropoda; Insecta; Hymenoptera; Ichneumonidae
Description: eukaryotic LSU rRNA
Source: RNAcentral